GCUGUGACACCAAACAAGAUAUAAAUAUAAGAAGCAUAAUCUGAAGGCCUGAUCCAAGCAGGUUGUCAGUCUGGUGUCAUAAAGGCUGGGUGCUGCAGGUCUGAGUCUGAACCUCCACCCAGCAGAAACCCAGCUGGUGGAGACAGGACCAGCUGGUUCAUGGUGGAUCUGAGCAGGACCAGGGCCUCGUCGCAUCCCAGGAGGAAGAAUUCUGAUGUGGCUUCAUCAGCGACUCCAGCAGGAUGGAGAAAUGCCUGAAGACCAGGAGAGCAAAGCUCCAGGUUCCUCCACCUGCUCCUGU
This is a long non-coding RNA of Salarias fasciatus (jewelled blenny), 301 nucleotides long. RefSeq lists it as uncharacterized. Lineage: Eukaryota; Metazoa; Chordata; Actinopteri; Blenniiformes; Blenniidae. The transcript has 3 exons. The record is from RefSeq and is a predicted model, not a curated record.